GAUGAACGCUGGCGGCGUGCCUAAUACAUGCAAGUCGAGCGAACAGAUGAGGAGCUUGCUCCUCUGACGUUAGCGGCGGAAGGGUGAGUAACACGUGGAUAACCUACCUAUAAGACUGGGAUAACUUCGGGAAACCGGAGCUAAUACCGGAUAAUAUAUUGAACCGCAUGGUUCAAUAGUGAAAGACGGUUUUGCUGUCACUUAUAGAUGGAUCCGCGCCGCAUUAGCUAGUUGGUAAGGUAACGGCUUACCAAGGCAACGAUGCGUAGCCGACCUGAGAGAGUGACCCGGCACACUGGAACUGAGACACGGCCCAGACUGCUACGGAAGGCAGCAGUCGGGAAUCUUCCGCAAUGGGCGAAAGCCUGACGGAGCAACGCCGCGUGAGUGAUGAAGGUCUUCGGAUCGUAACUCUCUGUUAUUAGGGAAGAACAAAUGUGUAAGUAACUAUGCACGUCUUGACGGUACCUAAUCAUAAAGCCACGGCUAAC
Molecule: ribosomal RNA, 491 nt
Filed under: uncultured bacterium
Lineage: Bacteria
Description: partial 16S ribosomal RNA
Rfam family: Bacterial small subunit ribosomal RNA
Source: RNAcentral